RNAcentral lists this long non-coding RNA (1070 nucleotides) under Equus caballus (horse). RNAcentral's name for it is "lncRNA (ENSECAG00000052255.1)". The record is from RNAcentral. Lineage: Eukaryota; Metazoa; Chordata; Mammalia; Perissodactyla; Equidae.
AUUCAAUCUAAGUGACAUCAAAGAUCACUUUCAAUUCUAAGAUACAUUUUUUUUUUGUAUAUUUAGAUGGCCUAUCCAUCCCCAUCCUCACCCCUUAUCCCCACUUUCUUGAUGGAGAUAUAGACGCUUAAAUGAUUAUUUAAGAACUUGUUACAUUCUCUGUAGAUUAGACUGAGCUGUGAUUUCCACCCCAUUCACAUUCCCCGGGGCAUAAAACUCACAGAGAAUUGAGUGUCCUCAUGAAGGAGCCCUCUGUGCUAAUUCCCUUGGUGCCUAAAGUGUCACAGCAGAAUUUCUAGUGUGAGUAUGCUAUCAUUGCUCCCAUUCUUUGUCCUGAAAGUGGAAAAAGUGAAAAGCACCCACAAGCCACUGACUCCACAUUACACAGCCUCUAGCUUCAUGGCUGUGCAUUGAGAAUUUGGUGCUAGUGGAGGCUGGGAUCUUCAGGCCGAGGGGUGGGUGCAGCAGGAGAGGGAGGGGCUGACCACAGCAAUGGCGGCCAUGAGCAGCAGCGCUGUGGAUGCCGGCGUCUGUUGCCUGCAGCUGCCAGGCUGACUUCAUUCUUUACACAGCCAAUAUUUAUUGACCACUUAUCAUGUGGAGGACACUCUACGAGUGCUCUGAGGGACACCCAGGGGUGUGACACAUUGCCCUUCUCUGGCAAAUCAUUCUCCUCUCACCAGCCUGUGGGAUUAGACCCUUCAAAUACCCUCAGCACAGCCUGUGAGGUGCUGUUAUUCCCACUUCUCAGACUGCAAACUGUGGCUCCGAAAGUUAAGCAACUUACACGAGGUCACCCGUUUGUGUUGUCUGACGUGCCUUGCUGUGGUUGACAUAGGCCUGGGUGCAUCUUCUGCCGCCAGUUCCAGUGCUCUCUCCAUGACACCACACUAACAAGAAAAGUUAAAAACCAGUAUGUAGGCGGUAGUAUAUAUCAAGGGAAUUGCACAGAGAAGAUGUGUUAUGGGGACUCAGGAAUGCAGGUCACAGUGGUUGGGUACAGAAGGGAGAUGGAAUGAUGGAGAUGGUUAGAGUUUGAUGGGUGGAAACCAAGGGAGGGCAUUCCAGAC